RNAcentral lists this ribosomal RNA (442 nucleotides) under Lucerna chemnitziana. Its description in RNAcentral is "Pleurodonte chemnitziana partial 16S ribosomal RNA". It matches the Rfam family "Bacterial large subunit ribosomal RNA", at positions 1829 to 2602 of the family's 2925-position model. Lineage: Eukaryota; Metazoa; Mollusca; Gastropoda; Stylommatophora; Pleurodontidae. The record is from RNAcentral.
AACUAAGUGUGAUUUAUACUUAGCUUCUUCUGCUCAAUGAAUGGUUUUAAUAGCCGCAGUACUCUGACUGUGCAAAGGUAGCAUAAUCAUUUGGCUCAUAAGUGGAGUCUUGUAUGAACGAAUGCAUGGGUGAAGACUGUCACCAGAUAAUAAGAAGAACUUUUUAAGUAAGUGAAAAUACUUAUAAGUGGCUAAUAGACGAGAAGACCCUAGAAAUUUUUUAUUUAUAGAGUAUCAGUAACGCUAUGCGUAUUUUGCUGGGGCGGCAGAGUAACAGUUAUUAACUUGCUCUAGAAAUAUGAUUUUUAUUUAAAGGUAAGCCAAAAUUACUCUAGGGAUAACAGCGUAAUUCUGAAGAGUUUGCGACCUCGAUGUUGGACUAGGAAAGAGAAUGUGCAGAAGGUAUUUUCUUGCGUUCUGUUCGAACGAUGUCUCCUACAUG